UUUGCCUGACCAGAGAUAACAAACAGGAUACCUUAUUCUGGUUUCUGAUUUCUCUUUUAUAGGAAAUAUUUUCAUGCCAUCCAUAGAACAAUAAAGGAAGCCAAAUGGAACCCCUGCGCCUCGCUCCCUGAAUCCAAGCAGCGAUGCCGCUACCCCGUGUUAAGGAUCCGUUUCUGAUUUAGAAGGGCCUAGACAUAAGCUCAUGAAGCCGAGCAUCCAAAAGCAAAACUCAACAUCAAACAUGUCUCGAACUAUGACGUGUACUUUCCAAUUUACCCUCGGAGUGGGAAUACUUCUGUCAUCUGUAUAGAAUUUAAAGGAAAAAUGCCCAUUAAGGAGGAGAAGGGGCUCCCCUUGCUCCUUCUGUCCGUCCUCUGUCAGAAUAAGAACUUCAGGCCAUGCGCGGUGGCUCAUGCCUACAAUCCCAGCACUUUAGGAGGCCGAGGUGGGCAGAUUGCUCGAGCUCAGGAGUUCGAGACCAGCCUGGGCAACAUGACGAAAUCCCAUCUCUACAAAAAACAGAAAAAUUAGCCAGACAUGGUGGCACACACCUGUAGUUCCAGCUACUCGGGAGGCUGAGGUGAGGGGGAUCGCUUGAAUCCAGGAGGACAAGGCUGCAGUGAGCUAUGAUCAUACUACUGCACUCCAUCAGACCAACACCCUGUCUCAAAAUAUAAAAAAUAAAAAUUGGCCGGGCACCGUGGCUCACGACUAUAAUCCCAGCACUUUGGGAGGCCCAGGCGGGUGGAUCACGAGGUCAGGAGAUCAAGACCGUCCUGUCUAACAAGGUGAAAACACAUCUCUACUCAAAAUACAAAAAAUUAGCCGGGCGUGGUGGCAGGUGCCUGUAAUCCCAGCUCCUCGGGAGGCUGAGGCAGGAGAAUCGCUUGAAUCCAGGGGGCAGAGAAUGCAGUGAGCUGAGAUCACACCACUGCACUCCAGUCUGGUGACAGAGCAAGACUCUAUCUUAAAAAAAAAAAAAAAAAGGCAGUGGGGCUAAAGAGAAAAAGAGGCAGGGCAUGGUGGCUUACUCCUGUAAUCCCAGCAAUUUGGGAGGCCAAGGCAGGAGGAUUGCUUGAGUCCAGGAGUUCAAGACCAGCCUGGACAACAUAGCAAGACCCUACCUCUACAAAAAAUGUAAAAAUUAGCCAGGUGUGGUGGUGCAUGCCUAUAGUCCUAGCUACCCAGGAGGCUAAGGCAGAAGGAUUGCCUAAAUCCAGCAGUUGGAGGCUGCAGUGAGCCAUGAUCAUGCCACAGCACUCUAGCCUGGGCAACAGAGAGAUACUCUGUCUCAAAAGAGAGGGAGAAAAAAAGGGAAUCUCAAAAUUGGGGUUCAUUGUGAAAAUUAAGGUAUUCUUAUUUUAUUUUUUAGGGGAGGAAAACUGUCUUUUCCUCACACAUGGCUAAGACACCCAUAACAAAAGACAGAUUAACAAGAGAAAAGCAUACAUACAGAUUGAUUUAAUGUAAGUUUUGUUUGUUUGUUUGUUUGUUUUGGAGACGGAGUCUCGCUCUGUUUUCUAGCCUAGAGUGCAGUGGCGCGAUCUCGGCUCACUGCAACCUCUGCCUCCCAGGUUCAAGCAAUUCUCCUGCCUCAAGCUCCCAAGUAGCUGCGACUACAGGCGCAUGCCACCACGCCUGGCUAAUUUUUUGUGUUUUUUAGUAGAGAUAGGGUUUCACUGUGUUAGCCGGGAUGGUCUCAAUCUCCUGACCUUAUGAUCCACCUGCCUCAGCCUCCCAAAGUGCUGGGAUUACAGGCAUGAGCCACCACGCUGGGCAGAUUUAAUGUAAGUUUUACAUGGCAAAGGAGCCUUCAGAAAUGAAGACCCGGCCGGGUGUGGUGGAGCGCACCUGUAACCCCAGCUACUCAGGAGGCUGAGACCGGAGAAUCACUUCAACCCAGAAGGCAGAGAUUGCAGUGAGCCCAGAUGAAGCCACUGCACUCCAGCUUGGGCAACAGAGGGAGACUCUGUCUCAAAACAAACAAACAAAUAAACAAACAAACAAAUGAAGACACAAAGAAACAGUCAACCUGAGUGUUUGUUAUAGUAGGUUUGAAGAAGAGUGGACAGUUGUGGAGAAAUAUGAGCAGGCAAAAAGAGAAUGAUCUAAUAGUAAUAAACUGGGGGAAACUAAGCCAGGCCUGUUUGUUCCAGUUCUUCCCUGUGACCCUGUGUCUUCAGAGA
RNAcentral lists this long non-coding RNA (2186 nucleotides) under Pan troglodytes (chimpanzee). RNAcentral's name for it is "lncRNA (ENSPTRG00000053855.1)". The record is from RNAcentral. Lineage: Eukaryota; Metazoa; Chordata; Mammalia; Primates; Hominidae.